RNAcentral lists this long non-coding RNA (541 nucleotides) under Cottoperca gobio. RNAcentral describes it as "lncRNA (ENSCGOG00000017027.1)". Lineage: Eukaryota; Metazoa; Chordata; Actinopteri; Perciformes; Bovichtidae. The record is from RNAcentral.
GCCUCAUUAGAAUCAUGUCUCAACUUGAUUUCCAAUGUUUGACGCAUUGACGACAAGACUGCGAGGACACUGGGAAGAAACUGACGAUGAAUAGAACGCAUGGCGAACCAGAGGAGGGGGCAAGUCUGGGGGCGACAGGAUAUGAUGCAGACACAGAAGACACACAUGAUGAGAAGGACAUUUUGGAUGGGGAACCAGCUGCAUCUCAAGAAGCUGCGUCUCCACAACCGUCAGACGAGCUGGGAGGAGCUGAUGAUGAAACAGAACCAGCUGCAUCUCAAGAAGCUGCAUCUCCACAACCGUCAGACGAGCUGGGAGUGGAUGAUGAUGAAACAGGAGAAGCACAUAUUGCCGCCAAAAACUCCUCUAGUCCGCAGGAAACAGAGCGACCGAAAAGCCCAGGCCUGAUCCAGGUUGAGACGCCGACCAAGCGCUUCAAGAAAUAAUGUAUACAUAAUGUAAUGUAUAAGUGUAUAAGCUGCAUGUGACAUUUUUUCAAAUAAACACGUGUUGACUUGGAGUUGUUUGUGUUGUGAUGGAG